CCAGGUUCAUCUUCGCCACCGCGAAGAUGAUGCUCGCGUCCUUGGGGAUGGUGUACCCGCCCAGAGAGAUCUCCUCCGUGACGGCGUGGGGAAACACAAAGUGAGCCGGCGGAUGUCUCCGGAGCCCCUCCAGGACAACAGCCUUCAGGUACGGUUUCUUCUGCAGGUCCUCCUCCUUCGUGAUCGCGCCAACUUCCUCCGCCAGUUUUUCCUGCACNNNNNNNNNNNNNNNNNNNNGGUAGGGUGCUUGACUACGUUCGCCAUUAUCCACUCCAGCGCCGUGGAGGUGGUGUCGGUGCCGGCGUUCAGGAACUCGGAGCAGAGAGUGAUGAUCUCCUCGUCGUUGAGCUUCCUCCCCUCCUCCUCGGGGAUCUCGAGGUCCAGAAGGGAAUCCAAGUAGGAGAAGCGGAAGCUGUUCUCCCCCGG
RNAcentral lists this long non-coding RNA (426 nucleotides) under Spirodela polyrhiza (greater duckweed). RNAcentral's name for it is "long non-coding RNA (SPOL_LNC002269)". Lineage: Eukaryota; Viridiplantae; Streptophyta; Magnoliopsida; Alismatales; Araceae. The record is from RNAcentral.